AGGGUUGAGUAACACGUGGGCAACCUGCCUAUAAGACUGGGAUAACUUCGGGAAACCGGAGCUAAUACCGGAUACGUUCUUUUCCCGCAUGAGAGAAGAUGGAAAGACGGUUUCGGCUGUCACUUAUAGAUGGGCCCGCGGCGCAUUAGCUAGUUGGUGAGGUAAUGGCUCACCAAGGCGACGAUGCGUAGCCGACCUGAGAGGGUGAUCGGCCACACUGGGACUGAGACACGGCCCAGACUCCUACGGGAGGCAGCAGUAGGGAAUCUUCCGCAAUGGACGAAAGUCUGACGGAGCAACGCCGCGUGAGCGAAGAAGGCCUUCGGGUCGUAAAGUUCUGUUGUUAGGGAAGAACAAGUACCAGAGUAACUGCUGGUACCUUGACGGUACCUAACCAGAAAGCCACGGCUAACUACGUGCCAGCAGCCGCGAUAAUACGUAGGUGGCAAGCGUU
Molecule: ribosomal RNA, 454 nt
Filed under: Bacillus sp. LR89
Lineage: Bacteria; Bacillati; Bacillota; Bacilli; Caryophanales; Bacillaceae
Description: bacterial SSU rRNA
Rfam family: Bacterial small subunit ribosomal RNA
Source: RNAcentral